Molecule: long non-coding RNA, 710 nt
Organism: Polypterus senegalus (gray bichir)
Lineage: Eukaryota; Metazoa; Chordata; Cladistia; Polypteriformes; Polypteridae
Exons: 3
Source: RefSeq, a predicted model, not a curated record
UCCAGGUUGUCUUCCUAUAGAUAUCGCAAUGUUGGUAUAUUAAGAUGGCCAGAGCUGUACGGUUCCUGACAUCAUCAACAUAAUAUAAAGAAUUACCUUCAGUUACAUCUUAAGUUUAUGGGAAUCCACAAUUGUCAUGCCUUUCAAGAGCCCAGACCCUGGAGCUGGUUCAACAAUGGUUUUGGAUUUGACUCAGAUUGGGUUCAAAUUUCAGUUUGUGAUGUUUUCAGAGCUUACCUAACAAUACUACUGUUGUUUCUGAUUAGCAUCCUGUUCCUUUAUAAUUUAAAGUGUCAAUUAGCCUACAUGAUCAACUACUCCUUUCUUCUUCUUUGCCUCAAAGUGACCUUUUUAGUGUGCAAAAUGUUUAAAUGAGAGGACCCCAUAUUUGUGUAGUUUUCUCCCACUCAGGCCAGCCAGCCUUGCUGCUAUUCUAAAUGGCUUAAGAAAAUGGGUUGAUAGAAGUUACAGCCCUUAAUCAAAGAUGAGCUAAUAAGAUGAGCAAACUAAAAUUAAACCAUAAAAGUUUAUUGCAAUAAAUUUUGAAAAAUAACGAACAAUAUUCUAUUGUUGCUCUAUUCUGGUGCUUCCACAGCCAAUCAUUAUUGUUGUGCAGGUUUUAAUUAUGAAGCUAAUUACUGUAUACACAAACAUCUACAUCAUUUGUCUACAGUUCAUUUUUCAGUGACGCAGAAUAGCUUUCAUAUAUU